GCAAGUCGAACGCUUCUUUCCUCCCGAGUGCUUGCACUCAACUGGAAAGAGGAGUGGCGGACGGGUGAGUAACACGUGGGUAACCUACCCAUCAGAGGGGGAUAACACUUGGAAACAGGUGCUAAUACCGCAUAACAGUUUAUGCCGCAUGGCAUAAGAGUGAAAGGCGCUUUCGGGUGUCGCUGAUGGAUGGACCCGCGGUGCAUUAGCCAGUUGGUGAGGUAACGGCUCACCAAGGCCACGAUGCAUAGCCGACCUGAGAGGGUGAUCGGCCACACUGGGACUGAGACACGGCCCAGACUCCUACGGGAGGCAGCAGUAGGGAAUCUUCGGCAAUGGACGAAAGUCUGACCGAGCAACGCCGCGUGAGUGAAGAAGGUUUUCGGAUCGUAAAACUCUGUUGUUAGAGAAGAACAAGGACGUUAGUAACUGAACGUCCCCUGACGGUAUCUAACCAGAAAGCCACGGCUAACUACGUGCCAGCAGCCGCGGUAAUACGUAGGUGGCAAGCGUUGUCCGGAUUUAUUGGGCGUAAAGCGAGCGCAGGCGGUUUCUUAAGUCUGAUGUGAAAGCCCCCGGCUCAACCGGGGAGGGUCAUUGGAAACUGGGAGACUUGAGUGCAGAAGAGGAGAGUGGAAUUCCAUGUGUAGCGGUGAAAUGCGUAGAUAUAUGGAGGAACACCAGUGGCGAAGGCGGCUCUCUGGUCUGUAACUGACGCUGAGGCUCGAAAGCGU
Molecule: ribosomal RNA, 734 nt
Filed under: uncultured Bacilli bacterium
Lineage: Bacteria; Bacillati; Bacillota; Bacilli
Description: bacterial SSU rRNA
Rfam family: Bacterial small subunit ribosomal RNA
Source: RNAcentral